UGAGUAACACGUAUCCAACCUGCCGUCUACUCUUGGACAGCCUUCUGAAAGGAAGAUUAAUACAAGAUGGCAUCAUGAGUCCACAUGUUCACAUGAUUAAAGGUAUUCCGGUAGACGAUGGGUAUGCGUUCCAUUAGAUAGUAGGCGGGGUAACGGCCCACCUAGUCUUCGAUGGAUAGGGGUUCUGAGAGGAAGGUCCCCCACAUUGGAACUGAGACACGGUCCAA
RNAcentral lists this ribosomal RNA (227 nucleotides) under uncultured bacterium. RNAcentral's name for it is "partial 16S ribosomal RNA". It matches the Rfam family "Bacterial small subunit ribosomal RNA", at positions 107 to 334 of the family's 1533-position model. The record is from RNAcentral.